CUUGACCGAGCCGAGCAGCAGCGGCCGGUCGGCGGGUCGGUCCUGGCCGUACGUGGCCAGCAGCGCCUGCGCCUC
This 75-nucleotide antisense RNA is filed under the name Micromonospora sediminicola. RNAcentral's name for it is "ASpks TB sRNA". It matches the Rfam family "ASpks TB sRNA". The record is from RNAcentral. Lineage: Bacteria; Bacillati; Actinomycetota; Actinomycetes; Micromonosporales; Micromonosporaceae.